GGGACGCUAAGACAAAAACACUGGAGUGGCAUGUGACGGGUUGAUAGUCGGACACUCCUAAGCAGAUCCUUUUUUCCUCAAAACUUUUUAACCAGGGUCAACAAAAUGGUGCUGCAGUUGGAUCUCUGCGAGGUCUCCCAGUGGUCACACUGCAGACUGGCUGACUCGGCUUGUUUCUUUUCACUGUUUACUCUGGCAAGUCAAGUCAAGGUCCUGCUGAGAGCUAUUCUUGAGGUACAUAAUUUUUGUCACUUUGGCUCCACCACCAGCAAAGAUGCAUAAAUACUUUGCUGGUUUUUUUCUUUCGUGUUUUUUUUUUUUUUUUAACAAUUCGAUCCAAAAACACACACAUCCAGAAACACAGAGUAAAUGAUUCGCUUAAGAAAAUAACUGCAA
This 396-nucleotide long non-coding RNA is filed under the name Oreochromis niloticus (Nile tilapia). RNAcentral describes it as "lncRNA (ENSONIG00000023432.2)". The record is from RNAcentral. Lineage: Eukaryota; Metazoa; Chordata; Actinopteri; Cichliformes; Cichlidae.